AGCCAAAUCCAUUCUAUGAGAAACUGAAGUUGGAACACAAACAGGUCAUGUGGGAACUAAAGAUCUUUGAGAAUGAGAACACCUCAGAAAAGUUCAGUGAGCUGACCAAGGACACAGUCUUCUAUCGAAUGUGUCCCCAGCAGUCUGCACAGCCAGCUCCUGAUGGAACAGACUCAUCUGCACAAGAAGGUGGACCUGCUGAAGCAGGAGAAAAAGAAACUGCAGGAGGACUUGGUUCUUCUCAAACACCACUUGAAAGAUUUGAAUGUGAUCUGUAAGGACCAAGAGGAAGAGACCAGUAACCUCAAAACCCAGCAACAACAGGUAGGGUGCAGUGUCCAUGCACAAGUACUUCUGGGAAGUUAGCCUCUUAUGAGAAAUUGAAUUAUUGUCAAGGAAUCCCUGCUGCUCUGCUUGAAGCUGCAGUCCAGUGAAGAAGGUCCAAAACAUGUCACACACCUACAUGUCAUUACGAUAGAUCCACACAACUGCAGCCUGAGCUGGAACAGGACACAGCCCAGCAUGAGAGCCACCUGCAGAAGGAGCUACUACAGCAAGAGCCACCUGCUGAGCCCCAUCCCCAGCAAAUAACUGAUUCCUGAGGAUGCAUUUUCUUCUUCAGAUUUGGUGUUCAUUGUGGAGUAGGUACUGAUUAUGCCUAGGUAGUAACCUAGCAUGAUUGCUUCUGGGUCUUGAUUCCCUUUCCUUCUUGAAAGCCCCUUUUGAGAGAACUUGGGAAGUCAAAGAAGCCACAGACACCUGGAAUGCAUUAUAUACUUUACAUUAGGAUCAAGGCUUCCAGAGAAAAAGGCACCCUGUUGUAGUUGUGAACUCACCAGUUAGGAAAGCACCAACUGACCUCCAGGUGACCCAUGCCCAAUCUGAUCCAUGUGUCUGUUGGCUCAGUUUUUGAAAA
Molecule: non-coding RNA, 916 nt
Organism: Cricetulus griseus (Chinese hamster)
Lineage: Eukaryota; Metazoa; Chordata; Mammalia; Rodentia; Cricetidae
Source: RefSeq, a predicted model, not a curated record